GAAUACCAAUUAGCACUUCAUUAUUAGUGUCUCUGUAUGUGUUAAGGGAUAUCAAUGGUUUAAGAAAUAAAAGGAAUUAAAACUAUGAAAGGGUAAAAUAGGUUUUACAAUGCUUAAUGAGUGUAAAAAAGUAAAUUGACAUUGACACCCUAUAAAUAGGCCUAAGCAAGUGUGAGAAUCAGAUUUUUCCACUUCCUCUUCCUCUUCUCAUCACACGCAUUACAAGCUUCCACAUCAUGAAGAUUGGGAAAUUGAAGAUUGAGCAAGCUAGGAGCAAGGAAGGUUAAUUGGAUCAACAUUCUAAAAACAAAGGUAUAAGCCGUUUUGGAGUCCAUUUGAGCUGGAUCAUAGUGUCAAGUCUUAGGAUCUUAGUGUAUUUUAAAUUCUUUUCCUUUUUAAGUCCUAUAAUGGAAUUUCAUGUUAUUUCUGUCAUGUAGAGUAUUUUAUCAGAGGAUUUCAAUUUUAAAAACCUUGGUCGUUACACUUUCUCACAAACAAAACCCUAAUUCCGUAAUCUCACCUCUCUCGGUUCUGUCAGUUUCCACUUCCUCUUUCAUUUCUCUCCAUGAAGGAAUUUUUUUUUUACAUUUCCCCAACAAAAUAUGUAGAGGAAUGUUUUGCUGAAGCUUCUCGUUAGGUGAUCUCACAAUGUCUCUUCCCGUUCUUCUUCCUGAUCUCAGUGUGGAAAUCAUAUCAUGGCUUCCGUUGAAGCCCGUCGUGAGAUUCAAAUGUGUUUCUAAACACUACCAAUCAAUCAUUUCCGACCCAAAAUUUGCAAAACUUCACCUUCAAAGAUCACCUAAAAAUCCACACACCCUACUUACCUUACGUGAUGUCGAUGAUGACGAUGAAGAAAUUUGGGUCGUAGCUCCAUACAUAGUGCGUCAUUUAAUCGAACACCCAUCGUCUGUUGUUGAAGAAGACGAGUGUCGUCGUUUUAACGACAACAAUGAUUAUUAUACAAUAGGCUCUAUCAAUGGCUUGGUCUGUUUGAUCAGUAAAAAGGAAAAAAAAACAUGGAAACACAAAAAUUUGUACUCAGUUCUGGAACCCUACUUUACGUUUAAGAUCCAAAGAUUCACCAAAUUUGAGUAUCAUGCCUCCUAAGAAAGUAAAGCUGGACCAGGUAAACCUUGGAUUCGGCUAUGAUGAUUUUACUUAUACAUACAAGGUGGUGGUUGUGUUUUGGGAUUGUACAACACAGAAAUGGGAGGGGAGGGUUCAUUGCAUGGGAGAUAGUUGUUGGAGAAAGACUAUUGCUUGCCCUGAUUUUCCAAUUCUACUUGGAGGCACUCUCGUUGGACAAUUCGUGAAUGGUAGUGUUAAUUGGUUAGCACGUCACAACAUAAAUUGUCAUAUGUAUAAAUGGAAAAAUGUUACCAUCAACCAAUUAGUGAUUUUAUCGUUUGAUAUGCGGAUGGAGGCGUGUAAGUAUAUGAUGUUACCUGAUGGUUUUGUUGUACCCAAAGAUGAACCAACUCUUGUUGUUUUGAGGGAUCGUCUGUGCCUUUAUUAUGUCCACAUGAGAACCCAUCUUGUUUUGUGAGAAAUGAGAGAGUUUGGAGUUCAAGAGUCUUGGACUCGAUUGGUGAAUGUUAGCUAUGUUCAAUUGGGUAUUUGUGUGAAUCUCAAUUUAGUUGAUUGGUUGUUUCCGGUUUGUCUCUCUGAAAAUGGAAAUGUCAUGUUGCUGGCUAGCAAAGGAGCUUUUGAUGAUAUUAGUAUGUAUAAUAGGAGAGAUGAUAGAGCUGAACAUAUUGAACUUCUUGACAACCAAAUUUGGUAUGCUGAUGAACAUAUGAAGAGCUUGGUUUUUCCCCGUCCUCUUCCACAUUAAGCUUCUAUGCAACAAUUGUUUGUAUUUUGAAUUUAUGUUAGGUCGUGCAAGUAGUGUGAUGACUAUUAAUGGUUCCUUAAUUGUGUUUUCAAUAGAUAGUUUAACUAUUUUGUUGGAUGAUUCCUUUGUACUUAUUGCUAGCUUAGAAUCAAAUCCUUUGGAUGAAGAUAUUUUAAUUUUAUACUAGUUAUUAUGAGUUAAUUUAUAUUCCUCCACUUGCUAUUGA
Molecule: long non-coding RNA, 2060 nt
Organism: Medicago truncatula (barrel medic)
Lineage: Eukaryota; Viridiplantae; Streptophyta; Magnoliopsida; Fabales; Fabaceae
Exons: 3
Source: RefSeq, a predicted model, not a curated record